UUAAUUGAAGCCAAAAUAGAGGCCUCCCAUUGUUAAUGGGGUCAAUGAUUUUAUUAAUCCAAUUAAA
RNAcentral lists this transfer RNA (67 nucleotides) under Leptocoris augur. RNAcentral's name for it is "tRNA-Asn". The record is from RNAcentral. Lineage: Eukaryota; Metazoa; Arthropoda; Insecta; Hemiptera; Rhopalidae.